CCUACCUCAAUAAAAACUAACAAAAAAAAAACAAAAAAAACCCAAAAAACUGGGAUAUAACUCAGUGGCUUAAUUCCCCUGGGCUCACCCACAGUAUUAGGAAAAAAUAAAAAAGGGAUUCUCACAAAUCAUGUAAUUAACAGAAGAAAUAAUAAAUCUUAAAAAUAUAUAUUUUGAUUUUUAAUUGACAGAGCUAAUUGUACAUACUUAUGAGACACAGGUGAUAUUUCAAGAUGUGUAUAAAAUGUGUAACAAUGUGUCAGGAUCAUAUCAAUUUAAUUGGCAUAUAUCCUCAGGUAUUUAUCUGUCUCGGUGCUUGCAACAUUCAAAAUACUCUAUUAGUUAUUGGUAAUAUUUAACUGCUGUCAAACAUAGUUAUUUACUAUGCUAUAGAACAUUAGAAGUUACUCCUCUCAUCCAACUGCACCCCUGUACUUCUCCUCAACCCUUCUUCUUCUACUCCCUUCCCAGGCUCUGAUUACCACAGUUCUAUUCUCCAAAGAAGUAAACAACUUAUCUUUGCCACCCAAUAUUGGAAUGAGGCUGUUGUUAUUGAAAACUUAACUGCUAUAUAUUUUGAGGUACUCACAUAUUACAGCAACUUAAGUUUCCACAUUUUCAUUAAAUACUUCAAGGGUAAAUGGAAUGGCUAAAGAAGACUUUUCCCCACCCAAAGCCUUGCCUAGUUUUCAUUAACAAAUAAGAACUACUCAAAUACCAUUAUCAGAUAUUCUUACCAAUACUAUACAUUGCUUAUUUAAAAGUCUUUUCAUGCCUAUAAUUAUCAUUAUGUUCACAUACAUUGUGUUCAAAGUGUAUAGUUUUUUUCUAGCUCUGUAGACAAAUAUGCCAAGCAGCAUUUAGAAUUGAACAAUGAAAACUUCUUAAAUGUACAAAACACAGUAAAAUGUGAACAAAUACCAAGAAUAUUUUAGCUUUCGAUAAGAUGAUUUUGAAUUGAGAGAAAAAGGCCAAUAGAACUAAGUUCUAUAUUACUUUCUGAAAUCAAGACAUCUCUGUGGUCUAAAUGCAUCUUACUAGGCAAAUCAGAGUUAAUGUUGGCAUCCCAAAGAGGCACAGAAUGAAAUGCAAAAAAAAAAAAAAAAAUUGAUCUAGUCCAUUAACUGUAUAAAUAAAAAAAUAAAAAUCUCUGCUUAUCAGAUAACAUAUCUAAUAACUUCAUGGAUCAUUAAAAGUAUUGAGAGGCUUAUCUGCAAUAUGGGUUUUGAGGUUCUUUAACAUACUCUUUAUGGGGGAAAAAUGCAUCAUUUAUUCCCAGUGAAUUCAAAACCAUUUCUUCUUUGUAAUUCUAGAUCAGGUUUUACAUUUGGCUUUUGCUGAGAGGACUUAUUGUGCCUUGGGGGUGUGGGCAAUUUACAGAGGGCAAAUUUGCCUUUCUUCAUUCAAACUGUCCUUCCCAAUCCCUUUCCAGUUUGGGGGUGUUAUGGUGGUGAAGAUGGAAAAUGCAUCUCCACUUCUCCACUUCCCUAAGUCAGGAGCUGAAUACCCUUGUUCAUAUCUUCCAUCCACUUUUCUCCUAAAACCCAGACUCCC
Molecule: long non-coding RNA, 1554 nt
Filed under: Marmota monax (woodchuck)
Lineage: Eukaryota; Metazoa; Chordata; Mammalia; Rodentia; Sciuridae
Source: RNAcentral